GAGGUUAUGGCUCAGUGGUAGAGCUCAGGCCUAGCAUGCAUGAGGUCCUGGGUUCAAUUCCCAGUACCUCCA
This is a transfer RNA of Camelus ferus (Wild Bactrian camel), 72 nucleotides long. It matches the Rfam family "tRNA". From Rfam's summary of the family: Transfer RNA (tRNA) molecules are approximately 80 nucleotides in length. Their secondary structure includes four short double-helical elements and three loops (D, anti-codon, and T loops). Further hydrogen bonds mediate the characteristic L-shaped molecular structure. tRNAs have two regions of fundamental functional importance: the anti-codon, which is responsible for specific mRNA codon recognition, and the 3' end, to which the tRNAs corresponding amino acid is attached (by aminoacyl-tRNA synthetases). tRNAs cope with the degeneracy of the genetic code in two manners: having more than one tRNA (with a specific anti-codon) for a particular amino acid; and 'wobble' base-pairing, i.e. permitting non-standard base-pairing at the 3rd anti-codon position. The record is from Rfam. Lineage: Eukaryota; Metazoa; Chordata; Mammalia; Artiodactyla; Camelidae.